GCCUGGGUGGCUCAGUCGGUUGAGCGUCUGACUUCGGCUCAGGUCACGAUCAUGCAGUCCACGGUCUGUGGGUCCGAGCCCCGCGUCGGGCU
Molecule: transfer RNA, 92 nt
Filed under: Felis catus (domestic cat)
Lineage: Eukaryota; Metazoa; Chordata; Mammalia; Carnivora; Felidae
Rfam family: tRNA
About the family: Transfer RNA (tRNA) molecules are approximately 80 nucleotides in length. Their secondary structure includes four short double-helical elements and three loops (D, anti-codon, and T loops).
Source: Rfam by way of RNAcentral